GCCUCCGAGGCCUAAUGAACGACAGAGAAGUAAGCGUUAACCGGUGCCUAUACCUCCUCCAGGCCAACUGAAUUGCCACAGCCGCCCAAGUCCUCCACCCUGGAGAGUAAUACCUUGCACUCCUCUUCACUCUUUCAUUAACAAACGUAUAUCGAAAAUGUUGUGUAACAUACUUAACAUCCUCAGCUUCCAGGCCAAAUGCCUCGGUAGUUUCAAGAGUUACGAGUGUUGAAGAAGAGGGUGGGAGUCUCUCGAUGAAGGGUCUCCGCAGACACCAUGACAAGAGCUCGUCGCCACUGAAAUUUCCAGGGCCAAGCAUGCAGCAACUU
This 329-nucleotide long non-coding RNA is filed under the name Theobroma cacao (cacao). RNAcentral's name for it is "long non-coding RNA (TCAC_LNC004233)". The record is from RNAcentral. Lineage: Eukaryota; Viridiplantae; Streptophyta; Magnoliopsida; Malvales; Malvaceae.